GGGUUGUGAGGUUAAGCGACUAAGCGUACACGGUGGAUGCCCUGGCAGUCAGAGGCGAUGAAGGACGUGCUAAUCUGCGAUAAGCGUCGGUAAGGUGAUAUGAACCGUUAUAACCGGCGAUUUCCGAAUGGGGAAACCCAGUGUGAUUCGUCACACUAUCAUUAACUGAAUCCAUAGGUUAAUGAGGCGAACCGGGGGAACUGAAACAUCUAAGUACCCCGAGGAAAAGAAAUCAACCGAGAUUCCCCCAGUAGCGGCGAGCGAACGGGGAGCAGCCCAGAGCCUGAAUCAGUGUGUGUGUUAGUGGAAGCGUCUGGAAAGGCGCGCGAUACAGGGUGACAGCCCCGUACACAAAAAUGCACAUGCUGUGAGCUCGAUGAGUAGGGCGGGACACGUGGUAUCCUGUCUGAAUAUGGGGGGACCAUCCUCCAAGGCUAAAUACUCCUGACUGACCGAUAGUGAACCAGUACCGUGAGGGAAAGGCGAAAAGAACCCCGGCGAGGGGAGUGAAAAAGAACCUGAAACCGUGUACGUACAAGCAGUGGGAGCCUCUUUAUGGGGUGACUGCGUACCUUUUGUAUAAUGGGUCAGCGACUUAUAUUCUGUAGCAAGGUUAACCGAAUAGGGGAGCCGAAGGGAAACCGAGUCUUAACUGGGCGUUAAGUUGCAGGGUAUAGACCCGAAACCCGGUGAUCUAGCCAUGGGCAGGUUGAAGGUUGGGUAACACUAACUGGAGGACCGAACCGACUAAUGUUGAAAAAUUAGCGGAUGACUUGUGGCUGGGGGUGAAAGGCCAAUCAAACCGGGAGAUAGCUGGUUCUCCCCGAAAGCUAUUUAGGUAGCGCCUCGUGAAUUCAUCUCCGGGGGUAGAGCACUGUUUCGGCAAGGGGGUCAUCCCGACUUACCAACCCGAUGCAAACUGCGAAUACCGGAGAAUGUUAUCACGGGAGACACACGGCGGGUGCUAACGUCCGUCGUGAAGAGGGAAACAACCCAGACCGCCAGCUAAGGUCCCAAAGUCAUGGUUAAGUGGGAAACGAUGUGGGAAGGCCCAGACAGCCAGGAUGUUGGCUUAGAAGCAGCCAUCAUUUAAAGAAAGCGUAAUAGCUCACUGGUCGAGUCGGCCUGCGCGGAAGAUGUAACGGGGCUAAACCAUGCACCGAAGCUGCGGCAGCGACGCUUAUGCGUUGUUGGGUAGGGGAGCGUUCUGUAAGCCUGUGAAGGUGUGCUGUGAGGCAUGCUGGAGGUAUCAGAAGUGCGAAUGCUGACAUAAGUAACGAUAAAGCGGGUGAAAAGCCCGCUCGCCGGAAGACCAAGGGUUCCUGUCCAACGUUAAUCGGGGCAGGGUGAGUCGACCCCUAAGGCGAGGCCGAAAGGCGUAGUCGAUGGGAAACAGGUUAAUAUUCCUGUACUUGGUGUUACUGCGAAGGGGGGACGGAGAAGGCUAUGUUGGCCGGGCGACGGUUGUCCCGGUUUAAGCGUGUAGGCUGGUUUUCCAGGCAAAUCCGGAAAAUCAAGGCUGAGGCGUGAUGACGAGGCACUACGGUGCUGAAGCAACAAAUGCCCUGCUUCCAGGAAAAGCCUCUAAGCAUCAGGUAACAUCAAAUCGUACCCCAAACCGACACAGGUGGUCAGGUAGAGAAUACCAAGGCGCUUGAGAGAACUCGGGUGAAGGAACUAGGCAAAAUGGUGCCGUAACUUCGGGAGAAGGCACGCUGAUAUGUAGGUGAGGUCCCUCGCGGAUGGAGCUGAAAUCAGUCGAAGAUACCAGCUGGCUGCAACUGUUUAUUAAAAACACAGCACUGUGCAAACACGAAAGUGGACGUAUACGGUGUGACGCCUGCCCGGUGCCGGAAGGUUAAUUGAUGGGGUUAGCGGUAACGCGAAGCUCUUGAUCGAAGCCCCGGUAAACGGCGGCCGUAACUAUAACGGUCCUAAGGUAGCGAAAUUCCUUGUCGGGUAAGUUCCGACCUGCACGAAUGGCGUAAUGAUGGCCAGGCUGUCUCCACCCGAGACUCAGUGAAAUUGAACUCGCUGUGAAGAUGCAGUGUACCCGCGGCAAGACGGAAAGACCCCGUGAACCUUUACUAUAGCUUGACACUGAACAUUGAGCCUUGAUGUGUAGGAUAGGUGGGAGGCUUUGAAGUGUGGACGCCAGUCUGCAUGGAGCCGACCUUGAAAUACCACCCUUUAAUGUUUGAUGUUCUAACGUUGACCCGUAAUCCGGGUUGCGGACAGUGUCUGGUGGGUAGUUUGACUGGGGCGGUCUCCUCCUAAAGAGUAACGGAGGAGCACGAAGGUUGGCUAAUCCUGGUCGGACAUCAGGAGGUUAGUGCAAUGGCAUAAGCCAGCUUGACUGCGAGCGUGACGGCGCGAGCAGGUGCGAAAGCAGGUCAUAGUGAUCCGGUGGUUCUGAAUGGAAGGGCCAUCGCUCAACGGAUAAAAGGUACUCCGGGGAUAACAGGCUGAUACCGCCCAAGAGUUCAUAUCGACGGCGGUGUUUGGCACCUCGAUGUCGGCUCAUCACAUCCUGGGGCUGAAGUAGGUCCCAAGGGUAUGGCUGUUCGCCAUUUAAAGUGGUACGCGAGCUGGGUUUAGAACGUCGUGAGACAGUUCGGUCCCUAUCUGCCGUGGGCGCUGGAGAACUGAGGGGGGCUGCUCCUAGUACGAGAGGACCGGAGUGGACGCAUCACUGGUGUUCGGGUUGUCAUGCCAAUGGCACUGCCCGGUAGCUAAAUGCGGAAGAGAUAAGUGCUGAAAGCAUCUAAGCACGAAACUUGCCCCGAGAUGAGUUCUCCCUGACUCCUUGAGAGUCCUGAAGGAACGUUGAAGACGACGACGUUGAUAGGCCGGGUGUGUAAGCGCAGCGAUGCGUUGAGCUAACCGGUACUAAUGAACCGUGAGGCUUAACCUUACAACGCCGAAGGUGUUU
Molecule: ribosomal RNA, 2932 nt
Filed under: Escherichia coli
Lineage: Bacteria; Pseudomonadati; Pseudomonadota; Gammaproteobacteria; Enterobacterales; Enterobacteriaceae
Description: bacterial LSU rRNA
Rfam family: Bacterial large subunit ribosomal RNA
Source: RNAcentral